Molecule: ribosomal RNA, 808 nt
Filed under: uncultured Pseudomonadota bacterium
Lineage: Bacteria; Pseudomonadati; Pseudomonadota
Description: bacterial SSU rRNA
Rfam family: Bacterial small subunit ribosomal RNA
Source: RNAcentral
UGUAGCAAUACAGGUGGCGCACGGCGCACGGGUGCGUAACACGUGGGUAACCUGCCCUUUGGUGGGGAAUAACUCCGCGAAAGCGAAGCUAAUUCCGCAUAAGAUCCGCAAGGAUGAAAGCCGAAAGGCGCCGAUGGAGGGGCCCGCGCACGAUUAGCUAGUUGGUAGGGUAAUGGCCUACCAAGGCUUUGAUCGUUAGCUGGUCUGAGAGGAUGGCCAGCCACACUGGAACUGAGACACGGUCCAGACUCCUACGGGAGGCAGCAGUGGGGAAUCUUGCACAAUGGGCGAAAGCCUGAUGCAGCGACGCCGCGUGGGGGAUGAAGCUUUUCGGAGUGUAAACCCCUUUCGAUCCGGACGAAUGCCCGCAAGGGAUUGACGGUACGGAUAUAAGAAGCCCCGGCUAACUACGUGCCAGCAGCCGCGGUAAUACGUAGGGGGCCAGCGUUGUUCGGAAUUACUGGGUGUAAAGGGUUCGUAGGCGGUGCGGCAAGUUGGGAGUGAAAUCUCUGGGCUUAACCCAGAGGCUGCUUCCAAAACUGCUGUGCUUGAGUGUGAGAGAGGCUCGUGGAAUUGCAGGUGUAGCGGUGAAAUGCGUAGAUAUCUGCAGGAACACCCGUGGCGAAAGCGGCGAGCUGGAUCACUACUGACGCUGAGGAACGAAAGCUAGGGGAGCAAACAGGAUUAGAUACCCUGGUAGUCCUAGCCCUAAACGAUCAGGACUUGGGGUGGCAUCCGUUCGGGUGUCGUCCCGGAGCUAACGCGUUAAGUCCUGCACCUGGGGAGUACGGUCGCAAGACUGAAACUC